Molecule: ribosomal RNA, 465 nt
Filed under: Vreelandella stevensii
Lineage: Bacteria; Pseudomonadati; Pseudomonadota; Gammaproteobacteria; Oceanospirillales; Halomonadaceae
Description: partial 16S ribosomal RNA
Rfam family: Bacterial small subunit ribosomal RNA
Source: RNAcentral
CCUACGGGCGGCAGCAGUGGGGAAUAUUGGACAAUGGGGGGAACCCUGAUCCAGCCAUGCCGCGUGUGUGAAGAAGGCCCUCGGGUUGUAAAGCACUUGCAGUGAGGAAGAACGCCUGGUGGUUAAUACCCAUCAGGAAAGACAUCACUCACAGAAGAAGCACCGGCUAACUCCGUGCCAGCAGCCGCGGUAAUACGGAGGGUGCGAGCGUUAAUCGGAAUUACUGGGCGUAAAGCGCGCGUAGGUGGCUUGAUAAGCCGGUUGUGAAAGCCCCGGGCUCAACCUGGGAACGGCAUCCGGAACUGUCAAGCUAGAGUGCAGGAGAGGAAGGUAGAAUUCCCGGUGUAGCGGUGAAAUGCGUAGAGAUCGGGAGGAAUACCAGUGGCGAAGGCGGCCUUCUGGACUGACACUGACACUGAGGUGCGAAAGCGUGGGUAGCAAACAGGAUUAGAUACCCGGGUAGUC